Molecule: ribosomal RNA, 1385 nt
Filed under: uncultured organism
Description: 16S ribosomal RNA
Rfam family: Bacterial small subunit ribosomal RNA
Source: RNAcentral
UAGCGACAGGCUUAACACAUGCAAGUCGAGGGGCAGCACAGGUAGCAAUACCGGGUGGCGACCGGCGCACGGGUGAGUAACGCGUAUGCAACUUACCUAUCAGAGGGGGAUAACCCGGCGAAAGUCGGACUAAUACCGCAUGAAGCAGGGGCCCCGCAUGGGGAUAUUUGCUAAAGAUUCAUCGCUGAUAGAUAGGCAUGCGUUCCAUUAGGCAGUUGGCGGGGUAACGGCCCACCAAACCGACGAUGGAUAGGGGUUCUGAGAGGAAGGUCCCCCACAUUGGUACUGAGACACGGACCAAACUCCUACGGGAGGCAGCAGUGAGGAAUAUUGGUCAAUGGCCGAGAGGCUGAACCAGCCAAGUCGCGUGAGGGAUGAAGGUUCUAUGGAUCGUAAACCUCUUUUAUAAGGGAAUAAAGUGCGGGACGUGUCCCGUUUUGUAUGUACCUUAUGAAUAAGGAUCGGCUAACUCCGUGCCAGCAGCCGCGGUAAUACGGAGGAUCCGAGCGUUAUCCGGAUUUAUUGGGUUUAAAGGGUGCGUAGGCGGCCUUUUAAGUCAGCGGUGAAAGUCUGUGGCUCAACCAUAGAAUUGCCGUUGAAACUGGGGGGCUUGAGUAUGUUUGAGGCAGGCGGAAUGCGUGGUGUAGCGGUGAAAUGCAUAGAUAUCACGCAGAACCCCGAUUGCGAAGGCAGCCUGCCAAGCCAUUACUGACGCUGAUGCACGAAAGCGUGGGGAUCAAACAGGAUUAGAUACCCUGGUAGUCCACGCAGUAAACGAUGAUCACUAGCUGUUUGCGAUACACUGUAAGCGGCACAGCGAAAGCGUUAAGUGAUCCACCUGGGGAGUACGCCGGCAACGGUGAAACUCAAAGGAAUUGACGGGGGCCCGCACAAGCGGAGGAACAUGUGGUUUAAUUCGAUGAUACGCGAGGAACCUUACCCGGGUUUGAACGCAUUCGGACCGAGGUGGAAACACCUUUUCUAGCAAUAGCCGUUUGCGAGGUGCUGCAUGGUUGUCGUCAGCUCGUGCCGUGAGGUGUCGGCUUAAGUGCCAUAACGAGCGCAACCCUUGCCACUAGUUACUAACAGGUAAAGCUGAGGACUCUGGUGGGACUGCCAGCGUAAGCUGCGAGGAAGGCGGGGAUGACGUCAAAUCAGCACGGCCCUUACAUCCGGGGCGACACACGUGUUACAAUGGCGUGGACAAAGGGAAGCCACCUGGCGACAGGGAGCGAAUCCCCAAACCACGUCUCAGUUCGGAUCGGAGUCUGCAACCCGACUCCGUGAAGCUGGAUUCGCUAGUAAUCGGGCAUCAGCCAUGGCGCGGUGAAUACGUUCCCGGGCCUUGUACACACCGCCCGUCAAGCCAUGGGAGCCGGGGGUAC